UCCAUCUCUGUCUGUCUCUGUCUCCCUCUGUCUCUCUGUCUCCAUGUCUCUCUCUCUCUCUGUGUCUCCCUCUGUCUGUCUGUCUCUGUCUCUCCCCGACAUCUGAACGAAGCCCCAGGCUCCCCGGGGUUCAUCUCUGCAGCACACACGCUCUCUGACUCGGCGCUCAGUGCCGUAGGGACGAAGGUUGCCAAGGAGGAACGAGGCCGCGGCCGGCUGAGCCCACAGCAGACUCUCCCCACGCCCGUCUGAGAUGGGGUCUCACUAUGUUGCCCAGGCUGGUCUCAAACUCCUGGGCUCAAAUCAUCCUCCCGACUCGGCCUCCCAAAGUGCUGGGAUGACAGGUGCGAGCCCCUGUGCGUGGCCUUCAGACCCGUUUCUAGCAGGGAAUUCUACGUGCAUCGGCUGCUGGAUAACGGUGGAGGAGGGUCUACCUUGCACCUGUUCCCGGGCUGAGGGACGCAACGGCCACAGCAGUAAGGUCUCCAGGCGGAACAAGCCGAGCCUUUGGGAUCCGUCAGACCGGAGACAGAUGGCUCAAGGUGCCUCCUGAGCUGGGUGCUGAAGUGCUUUAGCAAAAUGCACGCUAG
This is a non-coding RNA of Chlorocebus sabaeus (green monkey), 590 nucleotides long. The record is from RefSeq and is a predicted model, not a curated record. NCBI's taxonomy places the organism in Eukaryota, Metazoa, Chordata, Mammalia, Primates, Cercopithecidae.